CAUUAAAACUGCAUCUUUCAGACAUGAUGCCUGUUUCAUAUGCUUCAAAGCAGAACGUAGGAUAAACUUCAGUAUAACCUUUCAUUCAGUUUUACAGAAUAAAUUUGUAUUAAUUAACCAGCACAUAAAUGAAAUUCAUUCCACGGUGCUGUGGCCAAGGACAAUAGAUUUAUAGCAAUGAUUCAUUCAAGUCCCCUCCCCACCUAAAAAAUCAUUAUAUAAAUCAAUAUUAUAUAAAAGAGAGUUGGAAUAAUCAUUGAAUUAGGAAUUUUCAACCUCAUUUAAAAUAAGUCAUCCUAGAGACCAGUUCUCAAGUAAAGCUUUUGUCUUUUCCAUGCCACAGCCUCAACAGAAAAGACUUCAGACUUUUCUUCCAUCUGGAGCAGACAAUGCUCAUUGGUCACUGAGCUCAUCAGAGUCAUCAAAAACAACCUGAGAAUCUAAAACGUCACAAAAAAGAUCCUCAAAGAAUUAUCAGCUGAUAUUUUGCUUGGCUGAAGACAUACAGAACUUCUCUUUGGUUAUCUGGAUUGGUAAACAAAAGGCACAUUGACUGCAAUGGAUUGAAAACACUCAUCUCUGCAGCAGAAGCAAUCUGGCAUACCCUGGUGCAUGUCUUUGGAGACAUAUGACCCCGGACAUAUUUUGGAUGGAUCAGCAAAUUAUCAGGAGAAUAACAGAAGUGGUAAUAUAGAGCCACCAGCUUAUCAGUUGCUAGUUCAAAUUUGGCUAAGUCAUGUCUGACGGCUUCAGUUUCAUGACUAUAUGAUCUGACCUGCUCAAAGCCUUUCAUGUAAUUUGUUGCUGAUUGCAAUCCAGGUCCCAGAGGAGCUGUGUCCAAGUCACAACAGAGAUCACUCUAAUUGACAUUAAGUGUCAGUUUCCUUGGCAGGCAUGGAUGGCAGGUCAAGGAUUAACUACAGCCUGAAGACUGAAUUCCUUUCACAAGAAACAGUGUUGACAAAGGAUACUUUGAGUGCUUCAGGGGAAGUCUCAUCUUUCGGCUUUUGUGAAAGAUUAGAUCAUUUAUAUCAGCAACAUGUUAAUUACCACAUAGUUCAUCCAGAAAUACAUUACAUUUUAGGAGAUAAAAUCACCUGCCCUCAUACACACAAUGAUAUCUUCUGAUUUUGAAUCACUGUUUUUUUUUACCUGAGAUGUUCCCCAAAAUCUAUUUUCUCAGUUUUUUGUUUCAAAUAUUUUCUUUGAAAUAUGUCUUAAGCUUUUUUCUCAUUUACUAGGAUCUUGGAAGUCACAUUAUGGGGAUUACUACAGUAUGCUUAUGUACAAUGCUUUUGUACUUUCAUCUAAAUAUGUAAUAUAUUGAAGAGAAGUUAUUUACAUUGAAGAUCUCAUGUAUAUAUUGUCACAUUCUUUAUAAGUUCAUACACUUUGAAAUUUAAUUAAUGAUUAACAUUCUUUAUAAGUUCAUACACUUUGAAAUUUAAUCAAUGAUUAACCAUGUUGUUACUAUUUUCUCAAGAAGUAACAUAUCCUACAUAAAGUGCUAUGAAAUCAGAAACCCAGGAAUCAUUAAAUAUUAUUAAAAUUGUGAUAUUUUGAAAUAAAAUAUAUAACCUCUUUUUAUUAUUAUUAAUUUUAUUUACACUUUUAUGCAGGUGCCUUUCUGAGAUAGUAGGUCACCUUUGCAAUUUUUUUCUUCUCUAGGAAGGUCAGACAUUAAUCCAUUCCUUUAAAAGGAUUGUUCUUUCUGUUCCUGUGUCUGAAGAAUGCAGGUAACUAAGAUCACUAAAGAUCACCAGAAAAAAUACUAAAAAUUGCUGUCUAUUGUUCAAAAAGCUAUAGUAAGAAUAUUACAGAAGCAUUUUUAAACUGUUUGCUUUUCUUAACUUGCUACUUUUUGUUGUCUCUUUAUUUCCACGAUUCACUUAAGUUCCCAGAAUCUGUUAUUGCCUCCUGAUAAGAUGAUAGGAGCAAAACACAUCCUUGAAGAAAAUUACAUAAAUAUAUUUUUGUGAUAAUUUUUUUAUUAAAAAAUAUAAUUUUUUACUGUAGUCAGAAAAUCACGCCAAUGUAUAAACAUUCAUGUUUCAAUAAACUGCAUGUUUAUUGGUUCUUUCAUUUUCCUUCAUCCCUCCGCCCUCUCAUCUUCCCACUUGGGACUUUCAGACCAUGGUAGCAGUAUAAUAGAUUUUCCAGUUCUUUAUCUCUUGCUUAAAAGCCUGACAUUCCUUACAAUACAUAGCUUCUCAUGGCAUGUCUGCUUCUGCAAAAUGAGCUGGAGGCUUUUUUUCAAAAGGAUAGUCACAAUUGAAUUGUCAUGUGAGCACUUCACUGAAAACUGAGAUGUUUGCAGGUGAAAUAUGGACUAAUUCCCUCUGAUUUCUGUAAUCAUAGGACUUCAUAAAAAUGUGUUGGGAGUUUAAAGAGGAAGAGAAGGACACAUAAAAAUGUGUUGGGAGCAGGGAAGCUGCAAGAAAAGUUGUGAAUUUGUAAAGCCCUUUCCCAGCUGCUUUGCAUCUGCAUAUCCUCAAAAACAUCAUGUAUCUCUAACUUCUUUGUGCUCCAAGUACAGUGGGUCAAAGAACUUCUUGAUGCAAUGGCACUAAAGUAAAAGAAAUUAUUGUACAAGUUGAAUCCAUUUUUUGUUUAUCAUAUACUAUUCCCUCCUAUUUCAUUUGCAACUCAACACUUUCUGAUAAUUUUUAAAAUAUUCUUACUGGAAUACAUAAA
Parus major (Great Tit) is the source of this 2694-nucleotide long non-coding RNA. RefSeq lists it as uncharacterized. The record is from RefSeq and is a predicted model, not a curated record. Lineage: Eukaryota; Metazoa; Chordata; Aves; Passeriformes; Paridae. The transcript has 3 exons.